GCAAGGAGCCAAGCAUGCGUGCCAUGAUCUUUCAGUCUUCUUCUUAAUUCUUCCUUAAUUCAGAUUCUUCAGACAUACAUAUGUGUAGUAGUGGAUUUGUUCUUCGAGAUGUUAAUUAGUGUUCCAUAGUUACAUAUUUCAUGUUGAUUUGUGUCUGCUUGGUUUAGAAUUGCUUUAAUUAGCACGGGCGGAACUUAUUAAGGAUACUGCAAAAUCGUUUGGUUUUUCUUGUUCAAUCUUGAUCUAGAUCACUUUGGGAGUUUUUAAUCUCUAUGAGAAAAGGUCUCUCUCUGGCCCCCUUUUCUUGUAGUUUAUAUUUAGAUCGCAUUCAUAGUUUUGACUCUAGCUCUCGC
RNAcentral lists this long non-coding RNA (353 nucleotides) under Oryza brachyantha (malo sina). RNAcentral's name for it is "long non-coding RNA (OBRA_LNC001884)". The record is from RNAcentral. Lineage: Eukaryota; Viridiplantae; Streptophyta; Magnoliopsida; Poales; Poaceae.